This 253-nucleotide ribosomal RNA is filed under the name uncultured bacterium. RNAcentral describes it as "partial 16S ribosomal RNA". It matches the Rfam family "Bacterial small subunit ribosomal RNA", at positions 524 to 776 of the family's 1533-position model. The record is from RNAcentral.
UACGAAGGUCCCAAGCGUUAUCCGGAUUUAUUGGGCUUAAAGGGUGCGUAGGCGGAUUAUUAAGUCAGUGGUGAAAGCUCCCAGCUUAACUGGGAAACUGCCAUUGAUACUGAUGAUCUUGAGUAUGAUUGAAGUGGGCGGAAUGUGUCAUGUAGCGGUGAAAUGCUUAGAUAUGACACAGAACACCGAUUGCGAAGGCAGCUCACUAAGCCAUAACUGACGCUGAUGCACGAAAGCGUGGGGAGCAAACAGG